Molecule: long non-coding RNA, 1190 nt
Organism: Ictalurus punctatus (channel catfish)
Lineage: Eukaryota; Metazoa; Chordata; Actinopteri; Siluriformes; Ictaluridae
Source: Ensembl
AAACAUUCCAAUAAGGCAGAUUGUGCAUGCAUGUGUGUGUGUGUGUGUGUGUGAUAGAGAGGAAAAGAUUUCUGUGCCUGUUGAGUUAAAUACUCUGAAUAAUUUCAGCGCCAUCUCUGCAUGCUCAGCAUCUCUAGAUCAGGCAUCUCAUUUAACACACACACACACACACACACACGCACACAAAACAGAAAGAAGUGGGUGGCUUUUCUAACCUUAUUGGAAAUUGAAUGCAAAGACAACUUACAAAGUGGAAUGAAAUCCAAGGACUGAGCAGUUUAAGACCUCAACUGAAGCAAUUCAGUUGGGUCCUGUGAGUACUACAAACAUUAGUCCCAAACCAAUCAGUUAAAUACGAAUGCUAAACUCAGUAAAAGAGAAACAUGGCUGAAUUCAAAUGCACACCAAGAUAGACAAUAGUUACAGUCAUUGACUGAGUCUUCAGAAGUUUCCUGAAGGAUCUAGGUAAAUCUGUAUACCCAGAUAUCCUGCCGCAUUUAGGACUGAAGACACUUUGCACAAUCGUACAGAUGCAUGUACAUGUUGGAAAUCAUUUACAUUAGGAAUAAGGACUUUUUCCUGCAUCGUUCUCCCAAAUUUGGUCACCUGCCAAUUCGCAGCCAGCUCUCCCCUAGCACACACGACACCUACCAAUUGUCUCGGAGGGUUCCUCUGAGACGUAUGACGCCGGGCAACCACAUCUUUUUGAAAUACUGCACAUGCAAUGCCACAGGACAGGCAUAGGAAAGUGUAAUCUACCCUCUUCCAGAUACAUAAGUGAUGUGACAUGACAUGAGUGACAAGGGAGUACAAGUAUGCCCCUCCCACCCAGAAGGCCAAUUUUGCUCCCGUAGCAAGCGAAAAUCAUCCGGAUUUGAACUUCCGAUCUCCCGACUAUACGGCGAACACUUUUCUGUUGCACCAUCCAGGAGCCACAGUUACGUUGCCAAGUUAUGUAAAAUGUUGCAGUGUCACAUGGGGUGUCUUCUGUCAGUUAAUAUAAAACAUGUUCAUGGCAGAUGGCAAGGUGGUUCAGUGGUGUCUAAGUGUGGAUUCCGCCAGUUUCCUCCCUGGUAGGUGGCAUGGCUGCUUAGAAUUUCCCCUAUGUGUGUGUGUGGUGCACCAAGCUUGACUGGCAUCCCAGUCUUGGUGUAUUCUAGCCUCAUGUUCAGACACUACAACACUGACCA